AUGACAUUCCCUGGGAUCCUGGUGGAGCCAUGGCAUGGGGAUGAGGAGAAGCAAGGAGCACACAUGAAGAGAGAAGCUGGAGAAGGCAUGAGGAUAGGGAAGCAAAAGGAGAGGAGUCGCAAUACACGAGGUUGUGAGAGUGAUCGAGCGAGACCUACAUCAUAUAAAGCCGAAAUGUGCGCAAAGGCACUAAUAAUCAUCAAGAUUCCGUCUAUGUGGCUAUCGAGAAGAGUGAAGAAGAGAAGAGAAGGAAGAAGAGACUUGUGUGAGAUGAAGAGAAGUAACCAGGGGGCUAGAUAA
Molecule: ribosomal RNA, 300 nt
Filed under: Triticum aestivum (bread wheat)
Lineage: Eukaryota; Viridiplantae; Streptophyta; Magnoliopsida; Poales; Poaceae
Description: partial small subunit ribosomal RNA
Source: RNAcentral